Molecule: ribosomal RNA, 406 nt
Filed under: uncultured bacterium
Lineage: Bacteria
Description: partial 16S ribosomal RNA
Rfam family: Bacterial small subunit ribosomal RNA
Source: RNAcentral
GAUGAACGCUAGCUACAGGCCUAACACAUGCAAGUCGAGGGACCGGCGCACGGGUGAGUAACACGUAUCCAACCUGCCCUUUACUCGGGGAUAGCCUUUCGAAAGAAAGAUUAAUACCCGAUAUAAAGGAUGGGGAUGCGUUACAUUAGGUGGUGGGUGAGGUAACGGCCCACCAAGCCUUCGAUGGGUAGGGGUUCUGAGAGGAAGGUCCCCGACAUUGGAAAUAAGACACGGUCCAAACUCCUACGCGAGGCGGCAGUGUGGUAUAUUGGGCAAUGGGCGUUAGCCUGAACCAGCCAAGUAGCGUGAAGGAUGAAGGCUUAUGAGUCGUAAACUUCUUUUAUAUAAGAAUAUGUAUUAUAUGAAUAAGGAUCGGCUAACUCCGUGCCAGCAGCCGCGGUAAUUC